Non-coding RNA from Pelobates cultripes (western spadefoot toad), 111 nucleotides. The record is from the annotation of a GenBank genome assembly. Lineage: Eukaryota; Metazoa; Chordata; Amphibia; Anura; Pelobatidae.
GUUGCUGAAUGUGUGUGGGUGCUGUGUAUGUGUGUGGGUGCUGUGUAUGUCCACAGCACCCACACACAUACACAGCACCCACACACAUUCACAGCACCCACACACAUUCAC